UACGGAGGGUGCGAGCGUUAAUCGGAAUAACUGGGCGUAAAGGGCACGUAGGUGGGCUUUUAAGUGAGGUGUGAAAUCCCCGGGCUUAACCUGGGAAUAGCAUUUCAGACUGGGGGUCUAGAGUACUUUAGGGGGGGGUGGAAUUCCACGUGUAGCGGUGAAAUGCGUAGAGAUGUGGAGGAAUACCGAAGGCGAAGGCAGCACCUUGGGAAUGUACUGACGCUGAUGAGCGAAAGCGUGGGGAGCAAACAGG
RNAcentral lists this ribosomal RNA (253 nucleotides) under uncultured bacterium. RNAcentral's name for it is "partial 16S ribosomal RNA". It matches the Rfam family "Bacterial small subunit ribosomal RNA", at positions 524 to 776 of the family's 1533-position model. The record is from RNAcentral.